This 490-nucleotide ribosomal RNA is filed under the name uncultured bacterium. RNAcentral describes it as "bacterial SSU rRNA". It matches the Rfam family "Bacterial small subunit ribosomal RNA", at positions 336 to 843 of the family's 1533-position model. The record is from RNAcentral.
CUCCUACGGGAGGCAGCAGUGGGGAAUAUUGCACAAUGGGGGAAACCCUGAUGCAGCGACGCCGCGUGGAGGAAGAAGGUCUUCGGAUUGUAAACUCCUGUUGUUGGGGAAGAUAAUGACGGUACUCAACAAGGAAGUGACGGCUAACUACGUGCCAGCAGCCGCGGUAAUACGUAGGUGGCAAGCGUUGUCCGGAAUUACUGGGUGUAAAGGGAGUGUAGGCGGGAUGUCAAGUCAGAAGUGAAAAUUACGGGCUCAACUCGUAACCUGCUUUUGAAACUGACAUUCUUGAGUGAAGUAGAGGCAAGCGGAAUUCCUAGUGUAGCGGUGAAAUGCGUAGAUAUUAGGAGGAACACCAGUGGCGAAGGCGGCUUGCUGGGCUUUUACUGACGCUGAGGCUCGAAAGCGUGGGGAGCAAACAGGAUUAGAUACCCUGGUAGUCCACGCCGUAAACGAUGAUUACUAGGUGUGGGGGGAUUGACCCCUUCCG